CUGGGUGGAUUAGUGGCGAACGGGUGAGUAACACGUGAGUAACCUGCCCUUCACUCUGGGAUAACUCCGGGAAACCGGUGCUAAUACUGGAUAUGACUCCAACCUGCAUGGGUAUGGGGUGGAAAGAUUUAUCGGUGGAGGAUGGACUCGCGGCCUAUCAGCUUGUUGGUGGGGUAAUGGCCUACCAAGGCGACGACGGGUAGCCGGCCUGAGAGGGUGACCGGCCACACUGGGACUGAGACACGGCCCNAGACUCCUACGGGAGGCAGCAGUGGGGAAUAUUGCACAAUGGGCGAAAGCCUGAUGCAGCGACGCCGCGUGAGGGAUGACGGCCUUCGGGUUGUAAACCUCUUUCAGCUCUGACGAAGCCUUCGGGUGACGGUAGGAGCAGAAGAAGCACCGGCUAACUACGUGCCAGCAGCCGCGGUAAUACGUAGGGUGCGAGCGUUGUCCGGAAUUAUUGGGCGUAAAGAGCUUGUAGGCGGUUUGUCGCGUCUGCUGUGAAAGCCCGGGGCUUAACCCCGGGUCUGCAGUGGGUACGGGCAGGCUAGAGUGUGGUAGGGGAGACUGGAAUUCCUGGUGUAGCGGUGGAAUGCGCAGAUAUCAGGAGGAACACCGAUGGCGAAGGCAGGUCUCUGGGCCACUACUGACGCUGAGAAGCGAAAGCGUGGGGAGCGAACAGGAUUAGAUACCCUGGUAGUCCACGCCGUAAACGUUGGGCGCUAGGUGUGGGUCCCAUUCCACGGKGUCCGUGCCGCAGCUAACGCAUUAAGCGCCCCGCCUGGGGAGUACGGCCGCAAGGCUAAAACUCAAAGGAAUUGACGGGGGNCCCGCWCAAGCGGCGGAGCAUGCGGAUUAAUUCGAUGCAACGCGAAGAACCUUACCAAGGCUUGACAUGUACCGGAAACUCCCAGNAGAUGGGNGGCCCCGCAARGUNCGGUACACAGGUGGUGCAUGGUUGUCGUCAGCUCGUGUCGUGAGAUGUUGGGUUAAGUCCCGCAACGAGCGCAACCCUCGUUCUAUGUUGCCAGCACGUGAUGGUGGGGACUCAUAGGAGACUGCCGGGGUCAACUCGGAGGAAGGUGGGGAUGACGUCAAAUCAUCAUGCCCCUUACGUCUUGGGCUUCACGCAUGCUACAAUGGCCGGUACAGAGGGCUGCGAAACCGUGAGGUGGAGCGAAUCCCUUAAAGCUGGUCUCAGUUCGGAUUGGGGUCUGCAACUCGACCCCAUGAAGUCGGAGUCGCUAGUAAUCGCAGAUCAGCAACGCUGCGGUGAAUACGUUCCCGGGCCUUGUACACACCGCCCGUCAAGUCACGAAAGUCGGUAACACCCGAAGCCGGU
This 1342-nucleotide ribosomal RNA is filed under the name Ornithinimicrobium kibberense. RNAcentral describes it as "bacterial SSU rRNA". It matches the Rfam family "Bacterial small subunit ribosomal RNA", at positions 83 to 1431 of the family's 1533-position model. The record is from RNAcentral. Lineage: Bacteria; Bacillati; Actinomycetota; Actinomycetes; Micrococcales; Ornithinimicrobiaceae.